UUAAUUGGCUUUCUCUUUUAAUCAAAAACAUACUUUGUUACAGAGUUCUCAGGAAAGGUUCAACUAUUUUUCAGCCACAGACUUCAACCAGGCAAAAGUAUACAGAAAGCCGCAAAGGAACUACCGGGGCUUUAGCUGACCAGUUUUCCCAAAAGCAGAAGCUAAGUGUGGCUCUUCUCUGGGUUUUGGCAUAGCUGCAUUACUCUGAUUUCAGGGGAAGAGACCAGAGUUGGUAAAAUACCACCACCAAAUCGAUCCCCAACCCCCAGCCACUUCCUCCAAAUGGUUCUGCAGUCCACCCGAUUUCCAUGAUCUACAGGCAUUCAUGCUAUCCCCUUAAGUCACAUGUCCAAGGCACUGACCAGAACCCCAUACCUGGAGGAAGUUUCUUGACUCCGUUUAGCCUUCUAACCAAUCCAAGCCCGUGAGUCCUUCUAUCAAUGACAAGCAGCCAUGGCAACAGCAGUUGGUUUCACUCCCUCCUCUCCAGCUAUCACAGAGCUGGCCUCUACCAGGACUCCCCAACCCCCGACCCCUUGACCCACUCCCAAGGCAGGCUCUCAAGGUCCUUGAAAAAGCCAACUUCAUUAAUUAUACUUCUCCAAGAAUAGGCUGGAAAAGUACUGUGAAAGGAACGCUCCAUCCAAAAGUCUAAUCAAUAUGGACCUAAAAAGAGCCAAGAAUAAAGUGAAUGAUCAUCCACUGGUGGUUUUUUUUUUUUUUUUAAUUCUAUUAUAUGAACCAUUGUACAGUUACAAUGCGGUUCAGAGGAGUUUCCCUGUUUUGAACAUAAAAGAGAUAAGAAACCAAAGACCAGAAGUAAUGACCUCUAAUAUCAUUAGGCAUUUACAGUUAACUUUUCCAUUCAUUUUAGCUGGAAAACCAAUUACCAGCACACAGCACUGAAGAGGAUGGCGGGGCACACAUACCAGCCCAAAGCUGGAAUGCCAGGACUCAGAGAGUCUCACGAAACCUUCGCUAGAGAUGAUGGGAAAAUAGAAUGAAGGUGUUUCCCCUGCUCUCAAUUUUUUUUUUUUUUUAAGUAUUUAUUGCAGCCCCCAAGGUGAUGCUAGGCCUUUGGUUAAAUUUAAGUCUUAAGGACAUAUUAUGUAACUUCUUGUCCAUAGGAGAAUAGUAAUAAAAAAUCAAGCCUAAUCUCAUUUGAAUGACAUGGAAAUAAGUACAAAGCCCCCUCAAACAGCAGAGCAAAAGGAAGGAGGAAGUCAGAGCCUGCUGCAAGGUAGGCAAGGUCACUUGGAUUUCAGACCGGAAGAACACAUCUAGUCCAACUCCCUCAUUUUACAGAUGAGGCAACUGAGGCCUGGGAAGGUAGAUGACCUGCCCGAGGUCACACAUCAGAUGAGUGGCAGAGGGCAAGCCAGGCAGGGCGUGCCUGGUGCCCGCCCAGAGCCACCAGUUUCAGGAUGAACAACAACAUGGGCUCUGAGAUCUACUGAGAAAACGAUCCACGUCCAGAGAGAGAAAUGAUUGUCUUCACCUCAAUCCUUCCUAUGGGGGAGAAAGAGAGAGAGACAGGAAGGAGGAGAGAGCGGUGGGGAGGGAGGGAGGAAAACAGUUCAUUCAUUCAAGUCUGAUGUUAAAAUCCCUGAAAACAUCAGCAAUGACUUUAGCGACUCCUUGGGGCAGGAUCUCAGACCCUCAAUUCUCAUAAAGGCACCUAUAGGUCAAAAAUAUCUGUAGAGGAGGAAAGUCAGAAGAUAGGGCGCAGAAGGGGACACCCAAACAAACAAAAAUGACCCUCUCGUUCCCCAAGCAUAUUGUGUUGUUGUCGUUUUUGUUGUUGCUGGUAUUCUCUAGGCAAUGGAACUGCCUCUGAUGACUGAUGCUGAUUUAGUGAGUCCUGUGACCCCAGUUUUUGUAUGAACAGCAUUGAGGUGGAAGCAACAAAACGUUUCAAAAUCUUUCAAAGGGGGAAAAUAUGAAUAUGACCCACUUCUCCCUACCUUGACUACCUGGAACUCAGCCAAGAACCAGCAAACACUUUAAGCAGUCAAACCGAUGUCAGACACCAAAGCACUGAAGGCCUCUUCAAUGCUUGACAGGGAAGUUUCUUGGGACCCAUCCCAGUCUGUCCUCAUGUUUCAAAGGUAGUUCUAGUAAGUCUGGUUAUCUGGUUUUCUUGCCCAAGAAGUCGGAAAAAUGAAUCACAAAGGAAAAGAAGAAACUCCUAAGGGGAGGCACACACAAAGUGGUCUGUCAGAAGGGGACAAUACUGGAGGGUAUGUGUGUUAAAAAAAAAAAAAAAAAAAAAGUAAACAUUCAGAACCAUAGCAGUCUACAACCAUCUGGUUUAUCAAGGCAAAAACCUUAGCAGCUCCGGGCAUCUACAAAGACAGCUAGGCACAAAAGGAACAUCAUGCCUAGAAUGUUCUCUGAUAUACAUAUUAAAUAACUCCACCCCCCAAAAAAAUGGCUAAAAUAAAAAAGGGUUUAAGGCUUAAAUAAGGCAAGUCUGGAUAAUGCAGAAAAUUCCAUCCCACAGUGACAGCAGAUAAACAAGACAGACAACCCGGCAGCACUGGGACAAGUGCUGGGGACGAGGCCGAGCCGAGGAUGCUUCUAUGAAUGUGGCCACUAACCCUAUACAUUAGGGUAUAAGGUAUCACUAAUCCUGAUACAUCUCAGGAGAGAGAACCUCGUUGUCAGAAAACAAUAGAGAGGCUUGCGCAGAAGAUUCUCAGAGCCUGUCUUCUAUGACCUUUGCAAAGAAGAGUUUAGGCAACUAUUUACAGACCGCUAUCUGCGACUGUGACAAGAGGAGGUCUGCCUUUAGAAAGAAAAAAAAAAAAAAAAAAAA
RNAcentral lists this long non-coding RNA (2818 nucleotides) under Canis lupus familiaris (dog). Its description in RNAcentral is "lncRNA (ENSCAFG00000050349.1)". The record is from RNAcentral. Lineage: Eukaryota; Metazoa; Chordata; Mammalia; Carnivora; Canidae.